RNAcentral lists this transfer RNA (68 nucleotides) under Marmota monax (woodchuck). RNAcentral describes it as "tRNA.Ala". Lineage: Eukaryota; Metazoa; Chordata; Mammalia; Rodentia; Sciuridae. The record is from RNAcentral.
GGAUUGUGGCUCAGAGGUAGAGUGCUCGCCUAGCAUGUGCAAGGCCCUGGGUUUGAUCCUCAGCACCA